UAGGGAAUAUUGCGCAAUGGGGGAAACCCUGACGCAGCAACGCCGCGUGAGUGAGGAAGGCCUUCGGGUUGUAAAACUCUGUCCUAAGGGAAAAAUGGUAUAAUGGUUAAUACCCAUUGUAUUUGAUGGUACCUUAGAAGAAAGCACCGGCUAACUUCGUGCCAGCAGCCGCGGUAAUACGAAGGGUGCAAGCGUUGUUCGGAUUUAUUGGGCGUAAAGCGCGCGCAGGCGGGUUUGUAAGUCAGAUGUGAAAUCUCGGGGCUCAACCUCGAAACAGCGUCUGAAACUGCGAAUCUAGAAUGUCGGAGGGGGCAGGGGAAUUUCUCGUGUAGGGGUAAAAUCCGUAGAUAUGAGAAGGAACACCGGUGGCGAAAGCGCCUGCCUGGACGAUUAUUGACGC
RNAcentral lists this ribosomal RNA (400 nucleotides) under uncultured bacterium. Its description in RNAcentral is "bacterial SSU rRNA". It matches the Rfam family "Bacterial small subunit ribosomal RNA", at positions 355 to 746 of the family's 1533-position model. The record is from RNAcentral.